This is a long non-coding RNA of Xenia sp. Carnegie-2017, 362 nucleotides long. RefSeq lists it as uncharacterized. NCBI's taxonomy places the organism in Eukaryota, Metazoa, Cnidaria, Anthozoa, Malacalcyonacea, Xeniidae. The transcript is spliced from 2 exons. The record is from RefSeq and is a predicted model, not a curated record.
UUUAUACCGAAGUAUUUGUUUUCCAAUAUAACCUCCAAGUAGCAGCCGAUAUAUGAAACAACAUCUGUCGGCUACGUAUGGGAUACUUUGCAAUUAUGUAAGUUUGCCAUGUGAGUGAUGUCAAGUGAAAAAAUGAGCCCGCAGCCCCAAACAUCCAAAAGAAAAGGACAGAAUAAGUGGUAGCUUUUGAUGAUUUUACCUCGAACAAUUUACCCAAUCCAACAAUCAUGAAUUGAGACAAAGAUGCUGUGAAAUCAGCUAUAGAUAAGCUUAAGAUGGUAAUCCACGGUCCUCGUCUUAGUUUGUUUAAAGGAUCCUUCACAAUAACAACAAUAAGAAGACCAUUUGUUAGAACACCAACU